RNAcentral lists this ribosomal RNA (432 nucleotides) under uncultured bacterium. RNAcentral describes it as "partial 16S ribosomal RNA". It matches the Rfam family "Bacterial small subunit ribosomal RNA", at positions 29 to 507 of the family's 1533-position model. The record is from RNAcentral.
ACGAACUCUGGCGGCAUGCCUAACACAUGCAAGUCGAACGAGACCUUCGGGUCUAGUGGCGCACGGGUGCGUAACGCGUGGGAACCUGCCCUUAGGUUCGGAAUAACUCCCCGAAAGGGGUGCUAAUACCGGAUAAUGUCUUCGGACCAAAGAUUUAUCGCCUUUGGAUGGGCCCGCGUUGGAUUAGCUAGUUGGUAGGGUAAAAGCCUACCAAGGCGACGAUCCAUAGCUGGUCUGAGAGGAUGAUCAGCCACACUGGGACUGAGACACGGCCCAGACUCCUACGGGAGGCAGCAGUGGGGAAUAUUGGACAAUGGGCGAAAGCCUGAUCCAGCAAUGCCGCGUGAGUGAUGAAGGCCUUAGGGUUGUAAAGCUCUUUUACCCGGGAUGAUAAUGACAGUACCGGGAGAAUAAGCUCCGGCUAACUCCGUG